Long non-coding RNA from Oncorhynchus tshawytscha (Chinook salmon), 857 nucleotides. Lineage: Eukaryota; Metazoa; Chordata; Actinopteri; Salmoniformes; Salmonidae. The record is from Ensembl.
UUUAUUGUUUUGUUAGUUAUUUCAUGUCUAGUUCCUUUAUUAAAGAACAUGAAUAACCACCACGCUGCAUUUUGGUCCGCUUCUCCUUCACCACAGGAAAACCCUUAUACAUACAUCAGUAUGCAACACCAUUUGUUCAAACAACAUUCUCUCCCAAAUCAAAUCAAAUCAAAUUGUAUUUGUCACAUGCGCCUAAUACAAUUAGGUGUAGACCUUACAGUGAAAUGCUUACUUACAAGCCCUUAACCAAUAAUACCGUUUUUUUUUUUUUUAAGUGUUAAGAAAGUAUUUACUAAAAUAACUGAAUAACAUUUAUUUUUUUUUAUAAAUAAAGAAGCAGCCAAAAACUUACAGUAGCGAGGUUAUAUACUGGAGGUACCAGUACAGAGUAAAUGUGAGGAGGCUAUAUACAGGAGGUACCAGUACAGAGUAAAUGUGAGGAGGCUAUAUACAGGAGGUACCGGUACAGAGUAAAUGUGAGGAGGUUAUAUGCAGGAGGUACCAGUACAGAGUAAAUGUGAGGAGGCUAUAUACAGGAGGUACCGGUACAGAGUAAAUGCGAGGAGGCUAUAUACAAGUGGUACCGGUGCAGAGUAAAUGUGAGGAGGCUAUAUACAGGAGGUACCGGUACAGCACUAUUGGCCCAGCAUCAUCCGUGUUUGGCCGGGGUAGGCCGUCUUUGUAAAUAAGAAUUUGUUCUUAACCGACUUGCCUAGUUAAAUAAAGGUUAAAUAAAUAAACGCAUUAAGAAGGAAAUAAAUUCCACAAAUUAAUUUUUAAGAAGGCACACCUGUUAAUUGAAAUGCAUUCCAGGUGACUACCUCAUGAAGCUGUUUGAGAGAAUGCCAAGAGUGUGC